AUACGGAGGGUGCGAGCGUUGUUCGGAAUUACUGGGCGUAAAGGGCGCGCAGGCGGCUUGAUAAGUCAGAUGUGAAAGCCCACGGCUCAACCGUGGAAGUGCAUCUGAAACUGUCUGGCUUGAGUACUGGAGAGGAAAGUGGAAUUCCUGGUGUAGAGGUGAAAUUCGUAGAUAUCAGGAGGAACACCGGUGGCGAAGGCGACUUUCUGGACAGAUACUGACGCUGAGGCGCGAAAGCGUGGGGAGCAAACAGGAUUAGAAACCCUUGUAGUCC
Molecule: ribosomal RNA, 274 nt
Filed under: uncultured bacterium
Lineage: Bacteria
Description: partial 16S ribosomal RNA
Rfam family: Bacterial small subunit ribosomal RNA
Source: RNAcentral